RNAcentral lists this ribosomal RNA (493 nucleotides) under Streptomyces sp. RNAcentral describes it as "bacterial SSU rRNA". It matches the Rfam family "Bacterial small subunit ribosomal RNA", at positions 10 to 512 of the family's 1533-position model. The record is from RNAcentral. Lineage: Bacteria; Bacillati; Actinomycetota; Actinomycetes; Kitasatosporales; Streptomycetaceae.
AGUUUGAUCAUGGCUCAGGACGAACGCUGGCGGCGUGCUUAACACAUGCAAGUCGAACGAUGAAGCCUUUCGGGGUGGAUUAGUGGCGAACGGGUGAGUAACACGUGGGCAAUCUGCCCUUCACUCUGGGACAAGCCCUGGAAACGGGGUCUAAUACCGGAUAACACUCUGUCCUGCAUGGGACGGGGUUAAAAGCUCCGGCGGUGAAGGAUGAGCCCGCGGCCUAUCAGCUUGUUGGUGGGGUAAUGGCCUACCAAGGCGACGACGGGUAGCCGGCCUGAGAGGGCGACCGGCCACACUGGGACUGAGACACGGCCCAGACUCCUACGGGAGGCAGCAGUGGGGAAUAUUGCACAAUGGGCGAAAGCCUGAUGCAGCGACGCCGCGUGAGGGAUGACGGCCUUCGGGUUGUAAACCUGUAAACCUCUUUCAGCAGGGAAGAAGCGAAAGUGACGGUACCUGCAGAAGAAGCGCCGGCUAACUACGUGCCAGC